Dama dama (fallow deer) is the source of this 8390-nucleotide long non-coding RNA. RefSeq lists it as uncharacterized. The record is from RefSeq and is a predicted model, not a curated record. The transcript is spliced from 4 exons. Lineage: Eukaryota; Metazoa; Chordata; Mammalia; Artiodactyla; Cervidae.
ACGUGUUUAGGGUCUCCUGGCGCCUGCCACCUCCCUGAGCCCCACCCCUCCCGCCCCUGCAGACGGAGCCUUCCCCGUGGGGCACCAAUGAGCUGCCCGGCCGCUCUGGGCGCUCGGGGGCCGACCCGGGCAGGCGCGGGACUUGGGCUGCGCGGAUAAUUGGGAGCGAUGAGGUCCUGAGAUGCGUCCGUUCCAACCGAGGGGGGCGCCCGGGAGCUGAGAAAGGCGUAUGAGACCGUGCGCCCGCGUGGAGCUUGAGAGAGUGUUGGAGAGAGGAGUUGCAGAGGGAAGCAGAGCUGAAGGAAUUACCAGGCGUUUGUGAUUUUCUUGCUGCUGUCCAUGGAGUUGCAAAGAGUCAGAAGUGACUGAGCGACUGAACUGAGGAUACUGAAGAUUCACUUCGAGGAGAAAGUGGCCUGUGGCUCUGAAAGUGUGUGAGAUUUCCAGACAUAUUCAACACCAUCCAGACAGUGCCAAAGUGUGUCAUGCACACAGCUCCUGAUCAUUUAGGGGUUUAAAAAAAUUCCUGUUGAGGGAGAAAUUAGCUACCUUGUGGUUAAUGGUCCACCUGGGUUGGCCUUCUUUCUGCCUGAUGUCUCACACUCAGUCUCAGUCCUGACACUGCAAGUUAAUCAGGGGUGACUCCACACUGGAAUCUUCAGCCCUGACCUCUUCUCUUGUUUCUCCGACGGCUUCCUUGACCUCUCCAUGUGGAUGUUUGAUGGGCAUCGCUCCCUGAGCACGUGCAGAACCAGAUUCCUGGCGGUCCUCAUCGCCUCAUCCCGACCUGCACCUGUGUUGGCAUCCCAUCUGGGUAUCUCACGCCUGAGACUCCAUCCUCAUGGUCACUCAGAAAGAAGCAAAGACUCCCAGCAAACAAGCCAUAGCCUCCUCCACGAAAUACAAAACCCCAGAUCAACAAUUUUGACUACUUGACUGUCCUCUUCCUCAAGCCUUGAUAGAGCCCUGUCAAUGAGGCCCUUCUUCCCGAUGGCUCUAUAACCGCCCACUUGGAACCAUGGGCUCUGGCCUCAGGAUGGGAGUUGAUGUCAUGGCUAUUGAGGUAUAUUUUUCUGCUUCUCCUCCUAUCCCCUCCAGUUUGUUCUCAACCCCAGAGCUUGGGUGAACCUUUUAAAACCCGGCUUCCCCGGUGGGUCAAAGGGUAAAGAAUCUACCUGCAAUACAGGACACCUGGAUUCUGUCCUUGGGUCUAGCAGAUCCCCUGGAGAAGGGAAUGGCAACCUACUCCCAGUGUUUUUGCUCGGAGAAUCUCAUGAACUGAGGACCCUGGUGGGCCCCAGUGUGUAGAGUCGCAAAGUCGGACAUGACUGAGCAACUUGCAAUUUCUCUUUAAAACCUGAGUUAGAACAUGUAUUUCCUCUGUCGAAAACCCUCCUGUGACAUGACUGAUGUGUUGUGAACGCAGUUGAAAUACCUGAAGUUAAUCUGUGUUGAUCACUUACCACGAAGGCCCAGCCUGUGCUGAAGUAUGCUGCCUGUUCUCAUUUCAUCCUGACCUCAGUCUCUCAUUGUCACCACUAUCUUAUAUGUAAUAAAACUGAGCUAAAACAGGUUGAAACAACUCUCUGAAGAUCACUCUGAGAGGGAGUUGGCAGAGCUUGUUUUAUACUGAAGCAGUCAGGUUCAGAGCAGGGACAGUAAAAAAAUCUCAGUGUUUCUGUCCUUCCUUUUUUAUCUUCUUCUUUCACAUACUAUGGUUGUUAUAAACAAGGCCUAUCUGAUAAUCCAUUUCUAUCAAUGAAGAAAGACAGCAAAGACAUAUAUUUUGAAGUGUAACUUUGUGAUGAAGAUUCUUAGCAUCCUAUUUAUUUAUGAAGUCCUUGGCAGCAUCUUGGACUCAAGAUUCCUGGUAUUUCUCUGGACACCGAUGACAUCAGUGCUUUUUUGGUCUUGCUAAGUUACUACUGCUGGUUCUAACACUCACCUUGCACUUUAGUUCUCAUCAGAAUCCUAGUAUUAAGUCUGACUUUUCCACAGUCACUAUAUAUAUUUGUGUGUAUAUAUAUAUUUUUUUUCUUUUUUUUUUUUGGCUGCGCUGUGUGGCUUAAGGGAUCUUCAGCAGUGACGGUGCACUGGACAGCUGGGAAACUCCUUCCCAUCCCAGUGUUUUUAAAGUCAUUGUUCAUUAAGGUGAGAUGUGAGCGUAUAUGUGAUGAAUGCUGUUCUCAAAAGAAUUCAUGAAUAAAUUCCAUUUUCUCAUGAGAACUAGCAGGAACUAAAAGAAAUGCAAUUGUAGAUAAAGAACAAUUUUAGUUCAAUUGGGUAGUAUAGUGUUACUGUAUUUUAUCAGACUAACAAUGAUGGUUGGAAUAAAAAUCAUUAUAACUUCACUAUUGGCAUAUAAUGAAAAACAUUGCUAAAAAUGUAUCAGCAACUCAUUUUUUAAAAUUUGUUUUUAAUUGGAGAAUAAUUGCUUUACAGUGUUGGGUUGGUUUCUGCCACGCAUCAAUAUGAAUCAGUCAUAGGCCUGUGUCCCCUCCUUCUUGAAUGUCCCUCCUUCCCCCCUCCCACCCCAUCCUAUCCCUAUGGUUUGUCACAGAGCACCUAUUUACAAAUAGGUUCAUCAGUACCAUUUUUCUAGAUUCUAUAUAUAUAUGCACUGGUAUACAGUAUUUGUUUUUAGAGACUCAUGUUUUUGUAGGUGAAAAAUUUUUAAUCACAUCCAAAUCUUCCAUGAAAUUUAAGAAAAUAUAAAUAUCAUCCUCUACCCAGUCCUAACAUAUUUCUUUUUUUCCAAUAUCUACUAACAUAGCCAUGUCUAAAUGAUCGUCAAAAGGAAACUGAUAAUGCAGAGUGAGACAGACUCACCUGCCAAGAGCUAAGUCACUCACAUGUUCUUCAGUCCCUAUGGUUUUAGAAACAUAAAAUUCUGCAUAAGUGAUUAAUAUUUCUAUUUAAAUUGUAAUAAUAACACAUCAUGAAUUUAUUGAAUUGAGUACAAUGUAAAAUUGGCAUGAUUAUCCAUCCAAAUAUACUUUUAAAACUUAAUUUUCUUUAGUCUUACCAUGCAGGCUUAUCAACUCAUGAAGCGUGAUCAUUGGUGCUCAAUUAUAUUAUCAAAGUAAUAAAAAGUAAAAGCUUGUCUUAAGGAAUUAUUUUGAAAUUGAGAUUUACUCUUGGAAAAAUAUGUUAACCCACCAUUUAUUAUAUUAUCAAAUUAUCCUAACAUAGUUAAAAGCACAUUGAUGAUUUUUUUCCAUAGGGAUCAGUCUUUUUUACAUUUAUUUCCCAUUUAUAUUACUUUACUCUCUUGUACUGAUGUAGGCUUGAUAAUCAUUUUAAUAUUGUUCUGUAUAUUUAAUGGUACAUAGACUUGGAUCACUAGUGUAAUGAUCAAAUGAGCUUUAGGGACAUAAAGGCUUAGGUUUAAUGACAGACCUCAUACUUAACUAGUUGUGUUAGGUUUGUUUCUUUUUGUCCAGUUACUGAAUAUUCCUGAGCCUGCUCUUUACAGCUUCAUGUAUGAAAAGCAUACUGUCUGACACAUACCUGCUAUUUUUUUUCUGGGUUUAUCGAGUCUCAUCAUGGGCUAAAAUAAACUUACCGAGAUGAAGGCUGGACUGCCCCUACAUUCUGUGGUUUUUUGCAUUCCAUCAUAUCACAGUAGCUAACUCCAUAGAAGGGCCACAUUAAUAUCUUUCUUCCUAUUUCUCUCCUAUUUGGAAAGCAAUAUUUAUCAUUACUUCUCUCUUUGGCAGAUUUGUGUCCUGAGCCUUAUGUGCAUUUGAGAAGAGUCAUAACCAAUCAACUCAUUUGCUUUACUCACAAUUACUGCUUAGUCUAUUUUAAUGAUUAAAAGUGUUCCCCAUGAAAAAUGAACACUUAUAUUCUAGGAAUGAGAGGAGAAGUCUAUGAAAUCUUGUCCUUUCCCUGUGUAGAAAUGUAUCUGUAUUUAACUUCUAUUUUGUUCUUUUUAGCCAUUCAAGAAGGAUGGUGGUGAUGCGGUGACAUAAAUAACUUUUGUCUGGAAUGUUUUUAUUUAUUGAAAGGCAGGUGUGGAGCAGCUACCAGAAGAAACAGCUUCUGGUGAGAAAGAUGUCUGGUGUCUUUUCUCCCAUUCCCCACCACCAUUUUCAGUUGCAUUUACAACAAAGCUUCAGGCUACUUAGCCCCAAAAUGGGAUCACACCAUGAAAUGAAGUGAGAAGGGGUGUGAUGGACUUGAUCGAUCAAAUUAAGGCAGCCACGGAAGCUACUUGCACCUGACGUCUGUCUCUGCUCUGGACAUGGAUGCCCAUAAGCACCUGUUGGACUUGUGUUGACCUCCUAGACACUAUCUGACCUCACCUCUCACCUCCAUAUGCAGAAAACUCAGGUCUUUUGUGCCUCUGUAGAGGAAUGUAGUUAUCAGUUUGUCUUGAAAACUGACAGAUCAAAAGAAGGAAGAUUUUAAAUCACCACUAGGUGAGUGAGUGAGUGAGUGUUAGUCGCUCAGUCCUGACCAACUCUUUGCAACCCCGUGGAAUUCCUCUGUGUGGAAUUCUCUAGGCAAGAAUACUAGAGUGGGUUACCAUUCUCUUCUCCAGAGGAUCUUCCCAACCCAAGGAUCAAACCUCUGUCUCCUGGAUUGCAGGUGGAUUUUUUACCACCAGGGAAACCCCACUACUAGGUACUCACUACAAAAACAGUUGUUUCUAGCAAGGUCUGCUGAUGGGUGCUAAAUGGAUUAGAUGAAAGUUGGAGGAAAAGUAGGAUUUUUGCAUAGUCUCAAAGCACCCCCCAGCCCCUGCCGCCAAGGUAAUUAUCAAUUGUGAGGGAAAACAUAGUCACUUUAUAGUGGAGAAACCCAGAAGAUAGCACUUUAACCAAAUGAUGAAUACUAACAUCACCAGUAAUAACAUAUCUGUGUCAUGUUUUCCAGGAGGAUGGUAAUGGGACAUAUUAAAAUCCCAUUUGUGGAAGCAGGGAAUGUGCCUUGCGUUACUUUGAGGUUCAUGACUGUCUUCAUCAGCUUGGGAAUCCCAUGGGCUGGAUGGAUGAAACCAUACAAAUGAAUUUUCUCACAGUUCUGGGGACUGGAAGUCCCAGAUCAAUCAAGAGUCCUGGCCUCUUUGUCGGGCUUACUGGUACACAGUAUGACAAUCUCUAGUUUCAUCCAUGUUGCUGCAGAUGACAUUAUUUUAGUCUUUUUUUUUUUCCAUUUAUUUUUAUUAGUUGGAGGCUAAUUACUUUACAGUAUUGUAGUGGUUUUUGUCAUACGUAGACAUGAAUCAGCCAAGGAGUUGCAUGUAUUCCCCAUCCCGACCCCCUUCCCACCUCCCUCUCUACCCGAUCCCUCUGGGUCUUCCCAGUGCACCAGGCCUGAGCACUUGUCUCAUGCAUCCAACUGGGCUGGUGAUCUGUUUCACCCUAGAUAAUGUACAUGUUUUAUGGCUGAGUAGGAUUCCACUGUAUAUAUAUAUACCACAUCUUCUUUAUCCCUUUCCCUGUCGAUGUGCAUUUAGGUUGCUCCCAUGGACUGGCUAUUGUGAAUAGCACUGCAAUAAAGCUGUUAAUCCUAUCAGGUCAGGGCUGUAUCCUGUGACUACUACCUAAUUAAAGGUAACUUUAUUACCUCUGCAGAGGCCCAGCACUCAGAUAUGAUCACGUAGAGAGCUGGGGCUUCAAGGUAUGACUUUGAGGGACAUAGACAUUCAAUCUAUAACAUUCCACCCCUAGAUACCCCAAGUUCAUGUCUUUCUCUCAUACGAAAUACUUUCAUUCCAUCCCAACAGUCUCAAAAGUCUUCACCUGGACCAGAACCAGCUCUAAAGUCUGAAAUCCCAUCUGUGAAUCACCUGAGUCAGACAUGGGUAAGAGUCACAAAGCAUGGUUCAUCCUGAGGCAAAUUCCUCACCAGCUGGAAACCUACCUCUUUCUGAUAGAUACACUAAAGUGGCCGCAUCUCAAGUGUUUCCUUGGAGAGGCUGCGAAUUUUCCCAACUUCCAAAUCUUCCUUUUUGCCUAACAGCUCUUUCUUUGGUUCCUCUCUCCUCUCACAUUUUGUUAUCAGCAGUCAGAAGGAUCCAAGCCACACCCUCAAUACUUUUCUUAGAAAUUUCUUCUGCUGAAUAUCUAGCCUCAUCAAUCACAAUUUCUACCUUUUCACAAAACACUAGACCAUAGCUUACCAUGUUCUUUGCCACUUUAUAACAAGAACUCUUUCCCCAAUUUCCAAUAACCUGUAUCUCAUUUCUGUCUGAGCCCCCAACAAAGUGGCCUUUAACUUCCAUAUUUCUGCCAAUAUUCUGUUAUUGAUGAUUUAUGUAUCCCCUAAGAAGAUGAAAGGGCUUCCCUGGUGGCUCAGAUGGUAAAUCUGCCUAUAAUGCAGAUGACCCAGGUUCAAUCCCUGGGUCAGGAAGAUCCCCUGAAGAAGGGAAUGACAACCCACUCCAGUAUUCUUGCCUGGAGAAUCCCAUGGACAGAGGAGCCUGGGAUCCUACAGUCCAUGGGAUCGCAAAGAGCUAGACAUGACUGAGAGACUAAUGCUUUCACUUUAAGAAGAAAGCUUUCCUUCUAACUCUCCUCUUAUCUUCCUGAGCUUCCAUCAGAAUUGCCAUUAAUACCUGCAGUUGUAACAGUGACCCAUUGAUGGCCACCGUGAACUUCUCUGGCCUGCACCCAAAAAUUAUGCUAGCUGCUACCCAUCACCCAGGUCCAAAGCUGCUUCCGCAUAUUUUGGUAUUUGUUACACUAGCACCUAAUUCUGGGCUCUGAAAUCUGUCUUAUCUUUUAUUUCCCUCUGUAAAGACCCUGUCUGCAAAUAGUCUCAUUUGGGACUGGGAGCUUAAACAGAUGAGUUUUAGCGGGGCACAGCUUUCAGUCCCUACGAGUGGACCAUAUUAAUGCUGAGAAAGCUGAGUGAGUCAGUUUCCGAGAGGAGGAGGGAUGCUGUUGAGAUUCAAGCAGAAUCCACAGUGAGGGCUUGCAGAGCUCUGUUGAGACUUAAGAUUUGUUUAUUGUCAGAAUAGCCAGAAGGGUUUCUCAUAGUUUUGUUACCAGCAUUUAGAUAAAGUCCCAGUAACUGGGAUUAGUCAGUUGGUCUUGAACCUUGGGGCCAAACCACAUAUCUUUGUGUUCCUGAGUUUUAUUUUCUUGAGAGAAAAGAUAAUGACAGUGAACACGUGUUUAUUCAUCACUUUAAAAUUGGCUGCCUCUUGGGUUUAAAUUUUUUAAUAUUAUUUACUCAAGAAAUAGCAUCAAUUUUAUUCAAUAUAUAGUAUUUCCCCCUUAAUACAUAGCAAAGUGUAUUAGGAUUAUCAAAGUAACCAUGACAACCGGCUUCUUUACAAUCCAGUUCGUGAUGGCAGAGCACAGAAGCACGCAGAUCCUUAGCAGGAAAUAUUUCUUUGUGGCGAUAUAUAAAUAUACAGAUAGAGAUAUACAGAGGCAUAUACAUUCUAAAAAGUGUUAGCAUAUGUAUAUACACAUAUAUAGUAAUGUUUUUUAACAGAAGAUAGACAAAAGAUUUCCUAUGAAUGUAUCACAGGUUUUGUCACAAAUCAGCAGCCUAGUGUUUUUAGAAAUAAAAGGCAUAAGAGGUUUGUGUCGGAAGCCCUGCAUCCUAGGUCAGUCUUUGGCACUGCAAGGCUGCCCAGCCAACCAUCUGACGACUGCCUGGGUCUUCAGUUUCCUCAUCUGAGAAGCACAGUAGUCGUUUGUCAGAGCUGGAAGAGUUUGGCCAAAAAAGGACUUUGUAAGCACUACAUUUAUUCCCCUCACUAUAUCACUUCAGUAAGGGUGGUUAUUCUCUAAUAUUUAUCACUUUUAUGUCUCAUAAUGAAGGCUGAAAGUCUUAGGAACUGUUACCAGUAUUACCGUUAAAAAAGUCAUAGAAGUGAGGAAAAGCACUUGUGAAAAGGUGCAGUGACUUGCAGAUACUGUGUAGGAAGGAGAAGCAAGUGGAUAAUCCCAUCCUUGUCUCCAAGCCGCCCUGAAGACUCCUCCAGAGCGUGGGUAAUGGUGAGCAGAAUGGGGGAGUCGGGCGUGAGCUAGUGAGGCAGAUACAAGGAGACAGCCUUGCCACAGUGAGGGUCGGUCGCUGCAGGGUAGAGCUGACUUCCCUCUGGGAGGCUGCGGACCCCACCUGUGGCAGCUUGCUUCCCUGGCCGGGGACCCUCGAUCUCGCCCUGGAGUCAGGGACCUGGCUCCCCAGACCUGGGGCUCCCUCUGGGCUUGGGGUUCUGUGCCUCUCUCUGAAUCUCUGCCACUAGGCGCCUUCUGAUUUUCCUGGUGAAGACUGUUGACCUACAGAAAAGCAAACCAACCUGGAAAGUCACACAUGGAAUACACAACCCAGCAAGUGCAUUCCUCUCCUGGAAAAGUCAAGCGUUCCAUUUUUCUUUUAAAAUACUGGAAAGAAUGUGCUCAAUGAUUACAGUAAGUGGUAAA